CGGGAUAGCUCAGUAAGUAGAGCAGAGCAAAGGGAUUUAAAUUUUU
This 46-nucleotide transfer RNA is filed under the name Edgeworthia chrysantha (oriental paperbush). RNAcentral describes it as "partial transfer RNA-Phe". The record is from RNAcentral. Lineage: Eukaryota; Viridiplantae; Streptophyta; Magnoliopsida; Malvales; Thymelaeaceae.